This 470-nucleotide ribosomal RNA is filed under the name uncultured bacterium. Its description in RNAcentral is "partial 16S ribosomal RNA". It matches the Rfam family "Bacterial small subunit ribosomal RNA", at positions 28 to 507 of the family's 1533-position model. The record is from RNAcentral.
GACGAACGCUGGCGGCGUGCUUAACACAUGCAAGUCGAACGCUGAAGCACCAGCUUGCUGGUGUGGAUGAGUGGCGAACGGGUGAGUAAUACGUGAGUAACCUGCCCUUGACUCUGGGAUAAGCCCGGGAAACUGGGUCUAAUACUGGAUGCUACAUGUCACCGCAUGGUGGUGUGUGGAAAGGGUUUACUGGUCUUGGAUGGGCUCACGGCCUAUCAGCUUGUUGGUGAGGUAAUGGCUCACCAAGGCGACGACGGGUAGCCGGCCUGAGAGGGUGACCGGCCACACUGGGAAUGAGAAAAGGCCCAGACUCCUACGGGGGGCAGAAGGGGGGAAUAUUGCACAAUGGGCGAAAGCCUGAUGCAGCGACGCCGCGGGAGGGAUGACGGCCUUCGGGUUGUAAACCUCUUUCAGCAGGGAAGAAGCCACAAGUGACGGUACCUGCAGAAGAAGCGCCGGCUAACUACGUG